GAUGAACGCUAGCUACAGGCUUAACACAUGCAAGUCGAGGGGCAGCAUUUUAGUUUGCUUGCAAACUGAAGAUGGCGACCGGCGCACGGGUGAGUAACACGUAUCCAACCUGCCGAUAACUCCGGGAUAGCCUUUCGAAAGAAAGAUUAAUACCGGAUAGUAUACGAAUAUCGCAUGAUAUUUUUAUUAAAGAAUUUCGGUUAUCGAUGGGGAUGCGUUCCAUUAGUUUGUUGGCGGGGUAACGGCCCACCAAGACUACGAUGGAUAGGGGUUCUGAGAGGAAGGUCCCCCACAUUGGAACUGAGACACGGUCCAAACUCCUACGGGAGGCAGCAGUGAGGAAUAUUGGUCAAUGGGCGCGAGCCUGAACCAGCCAAGUAGCGUGAAGGAUGAAGGCUCUAUGGGUCGUAAACUUCUUUUAUAUGGGAAUAAAGUUUUCCACGUGUGGAAUUUUGUAUGUACCAUAUGAAUAAGGAUCGGCUAACUCCGUGCCAGCAGCCGCGGUAAUACGGAGGAUCCGAGCGUUAUCCGGAUUUAUUGGGUUUAAAGGGAGCGUAGGUGGAUUGUUAAGUCAGUUGUGAAAGUUUGCGGCUCAACCGUAAAAUUGCAGUUGAAACUGGCAGUCUUGAGUACAGUAGAGGUGGGCGGAAUUCGUGGUGUAGCGGUGAAAUGCUUAGAUAUCACGAAGAACUCCGAUUGCGAAGGCAGCUCACUAGACUGUCACUGACACUGAUGCUCGAAAGUGUGGGUAUCAAACAGGAUUAGAUACCCUGGUAGUCCACACAGUAAACGAUGAAUACUCGCUGUUUGCGAUAUACAGUAAGCGGCCAAGCGAAAGCAUUAAGUAUUCCACCUGGGGAGUACGCCGGCAACGGUGAAACUCAAAGGAAUUGACGGGGGCCCGCACAAGCGGAGGAACAUGUGGUUUAAUUCGAUGAUACGCGAGGAACCUUACCCGGGCUUAAAUUGCAACAGAAUAUAUUGGAAACAGUAUAGCCGUAAGGCUGUUGUGAAGGUGCUGCAUGGUUGUCGUCAGCUCGUGCCGUGAGGUGUCGGCUUAAGUGCCAUAACGAGCGCAACCCUUAUCUUUAGUUACUAACAGGUUAUGCUGAGGACUCUAGAGAGACUGCCGUCGUAAGAUGUGAGGAAGGUGGGGAUGACGUCAAAUCAGCACGGCCCUUACGUCCGGGGCUACACACGUGUUACAAUGGGGGGUACAGAAGGCGGCUACCUGGUGACAGGAUGCUAAUCCCAAAAACCUCUCUCAGUUCGGAUCGAAGUCUGCAACCCGACUUCGUGAAGCUGGAUUCGCUAGUAAUCGCGCAUCAGCCAUGGCGCGGUGAAUACGUUCCCGGGCCU
This 1359-nucleotide ribosomal RNA is filed under the name uncultured bacterium. RNAcentral's name for it is "bacterial SSU rRNA". It matches the Rfam family "Bacterial small subunit ribosomal RNA", at positions 28 to 1381 of the family's 1533-position model. The record is from RNAcentral.